CGGGAGAUGGCAGAGUCUGGUUUAAUGCACCGGUCUUGAAAACCGGCGAGGGUAAUACCUCCAGGAGUUCGAAUCUCCUUCUCCCGGCCA
This 90-nucleotide transfer RNA is filed under the name Sulfurospirillum sp. RNAcentral describes it as "tRNA-Ser". It matches the Rfam family "tRNA". From Rfam's summary of the family: Transfer RNA (tRNA) molecules are approximately 80 nucleotides in length. Lineage: Bacteria; Pseudomonadati; Campylobacterota; Epsilonproteobacteria; Campylobacterales; Sulfurospirillaceae. The record is from RNAcentral.